UCGAGAAUCUUCGGCAAUGGGCGCAAGCCUGACCGAGCGACGCCGCGUGCGGGAUGAAGGCCUUCGGGUUGUAAACCGCUGUCGUAGGGGAGGAAGGUCGCGUGAAGAACGCGGCUUGACCGAUCCUAGGAGGAAGGGCCGGCUAAUCUCGUGCCAGCAGCCGCGGUAAUACGAGAGGCCCAAACGUUAUUCGGAAUUACUGGGCUUAAAGAGUCCGUAGGCGGCGCAGAAAGUAGGGUGUGAAAGCCCUCGGCUCAACCGAGGAAUUGCGCUCUAAACUACUGUGCUUGAGGAACCUAGAGGUGAGCGGAACUGAUGGUGGAGCGGUGAAAUGCGUUGAUAUCAUCAGGAACACCGGAGGCGAAGGCGGCUCACUGGGGGUUAUCUGACGCUGAGGGACGAAAGCCAGGGGAGCGAACG
RNAcentral lists this ribosomal RNA (420 nucleotides) under uncultured Pirellula sp. RNAcentral describes it as "bacterial SSU rRNA". It matches the Rfam family "Bacterial small subunit ribosomal RNA", at positions 355 to 774 of the family's 1533-position model. The record is from RNAcentral. Lineage: Bacteria; Pseudomonadati; Planctomycetota; Planctomycetia; Pirellulales; Pirellulaceae.